This 995-nucleotide ribosomal RNA is filed under the name Echinobothrium sp. n. 5 FPLM-2013. RNAcentral describes it as "SSU rRNA". It matches the Rfam family "Eukaryotic small subunit ribosomal RNA", at positions 430 to 1289 of the family's 1831-position model. Lineage: Eukaryota; Metazoa; Platyhelminthes; Cestoda; Diphyllidea; Echinobothriidae. The record is from RNAcentral.
AGGCGCGCAAAUUACCCACUCCCAGUACUCGGAGGUGGUGACGAUAAAUACCGAUGCGGGACUCGUCAUGAGGCUCCGUAAUCGGAAUGAGUGAGAUUUAAAUCCUUUUACGAGGAUCAAUUGGAGGGCAAGUCUGGUGCCAGCAGCCGCGGUAACUCCAGCUCCAAUAGCGUAUAUUAAAGUUGUUGCAGUUAAAAAGCUCGUAGUUGGAUCUCGGUAGCAUUGUUGCCUGCCAUCGCUUGGCUAGUUGGGCUUGGGCUUAGUGCUUUGCGCUAGCCUAGUUCGGCUGGUCGAGUUGGCGUGGUGGCGGUGUCACCUUUUAGCCAUGUCUGUGGUGAAAUACCCAUAGGUGUAGGCGGGUGUCAGGCGGUGCUCUGCAACAGUAGGGUCCGUCGGCUCGUUUGCAUGCCUUUGGAUGCCCUUUAAAAGGUGUCUGUUGGCGGAUGGCACGUUUACUUUGAACAAAUUUGAGUGCUCAAACCAGGCCGAUGUUGCCUGAAAAGUUUUGCAUGGAAUAAUAGAAUACGACUCCGGCUCUAUUUUGUUGGUUUUCGGAUCCGAAGUAAUGAUCAAAAGAGACAGGCGGGGACGUUUGUAUGGUUGCGCUAGAGGUGAAAUUCAUGGACCGUAGCCAGACAAACUAAAGCGAUUGCCUUCGUCAAGCAUGUUUUCAUUGACCAUGAGCGAAAGUCAGAGGCUCGAAGACGAUCAGAUACCGUCCUAGUUCUGACCAUAAACUAUGCCAACUGACGAUCCGUGAUGGUAGUAUUAUAACCUUCCACACGGGCAGUCCCCGGAAAACCUUUAAGUCUUUGGGUUCCGGGGGAAGUAUGGUUGCAAAGCUGAAACUUAAAGGAAUUGACGGAAGGGCACCACCAGGAGUGGAGCCUGCGGUUUAAUUUGACUCAGCAGGGGAAAACUCACCCGGGCCGGACACUAUGAGGAUUGCCGGAUUGACAGCUCUUUCAUGAUUUGGUGGUUGGUGGUGCAUGGCC